GCUGGGGGAGAAACAUGCCAUUAAACAAUCAUAAAGGAGUGUCACGAGAUUGAUUUUAAAUGCAUGUAUCAUUAUGAAGACAUAAUGGAAAAAUAUGCACAUCUUCCAUAAUCGAGAAGUCAGGGAAUUUUAUCUGGAGGCUGUGACACAGUGAAUUGUGACUCAUAAGAUGCAACAGCCACUGAAAAGAUAGGGCCAUGACAAUCUUACUUCUGAGGGAGUGACUCUCAGGUCACAAAAGCCCUUGAUUUGGCUCUAUAUUUUUUAGUGCAGUUUUAAUGUGUGUGUGUGUGUGUGUUUCAUUUCUAGAAUAAUCCUUCACAGAAGCAGUGAUGAAGCCAGAAAUGAGAAAUGAAGCUCAGCACAGAUGGGAUUUUUCAAAUGAAAACCAGAUGAAUGUAAACAGCAGUCUCACCAUCAAAACCUAAAGGUAGAAAGACGCAGGCCCUGCUCUGUGCUGUAACAAGAUCCACGUCUGCAAUGGAAGGGAUCUUUCCAACCCAGGGAUUGAACCUAAGUUUUCCCAUCAACACAACUGAACCCACUGUAUUGCACGUGAAUUCUUUAAUGCUGAGCCACUGGGGAAGAGCAACUAAAUACUGCAUUUUGUAAUUCUAGUAAGUUAUUCUUCAGAAUGAUUUCCCUUUCUCUUUUCCCUGUAUUAUUUCUUUAUCUUAAAGU
RNAcentral lists this long non-coding RNA (681 nucleotides) under Ovis aries (sheep). RNAcentral's name for it is "lncRNA (ENSOARG00000026731.1)". Lineage: Eukaryota; Metazoa; Chordata; Mammalia; Artiodactyla; Bovidae. The record is from RNAcentral.